RNA transcript from Mandrillus leucophaeus (drill), 919 nucleotides. It is a transcript of the gene named chloride intracellular channel protein 4 pseudogene, with no coding region annotated. The transcript has a single exon. The record is from RefSeq and is a predicted model, not a curated record. NCBI's taxonomy places the organism in Eukaryota, Metazoa, Chordata, Mammalia, Primates, Cercopithecidae.
GGCACGUGGGGAGGUGCUGAGGAGCCGAGGCCACGGCCAGCUAGACGCCGGACUGUCCAGCGAGCACUGCAGCGGGAGUCGGCAGUCGGAGCAGCCCCGGAGCAGGAGCAAAAGCAGCAGCAGCAGCCGUCGCCGUUAGCGGAGCGCAGCCGAGCCGGCCAUGGCGUUGUCGAUGCCGCUGAACGAGCUGAAGGAGGAGAACAAAGAGCCCCUCAUUGAGCACCUCGUCAAAGCUGGCAGUGAUGGUGAAAGCAUAGGAAACUGCCCCUUUUCCCAGAGGCUCUUCAUGAUUCAUUGACUCAAAGGAGUUGUAUUUAGUGUCACAACUGUUGACCUGAAAAGGAAGCCUGCAGACCUUCAGAACUUAGCUCCCGGGACCCACCCACCAUUUAUAAGUUUCAACAGUGAAGUCAAAACGGAUGUAAGUAAGAUUGAGGAAUUUCUUGAAGAAGUCUUAUGCCCUCCCAAGUACUUAAAGCUUUCACCAAAACACCCAGAAUCAAAUACUGCUGGAAUGCACAUCUUUGCCAAAUUCUCUGCAUUUAUUAAGAAUUGAAGGCGAGAGGCUAAUGAAGGACUGGAGAAGGAUCUCCUAAAAACUCUGCAGAAACUGGAUAAAUAUCUGAAUUCUCCUCUCCCUGAUGAAUCUGAUGAAAAUAGUAUAGAGGACAUUAAGUUUUCUACACGUAAAUUUCUGGAUGGCAACGAAAUGACAUUAGCUAAUUGCAACCUGCUGCCCAAACUGCAUAUUGUCAAGGUGGUGGCCAAAAAAUAUCACAACUUUGAUAUUCCAAAAGAGAUGACUGGCAUCUGGAGAUACCUAACUAAUGCAUACAGUAGGGACGAGUUCCUCAAUACCUGUCCCAGUGAUAAGGAGGUUGAAAUAGCUUAUAGUGAUGCCAAAAGACCCACCAAGUAA